Molecule: long non-coding RNA, 1649 nt
Filed under: Pocillopora damicornis (cauliflower coral)
Lineage: Eukaryota; Metazoa; Cnidaria; Anthozoa; Scleractinia; Pocilloporidae
Description: uncharacterized LOC113683939
Source: RNAcentral
AUCAAUCAGAGGAUGGAAAAUUUGUGGCAUGUAUGACAUGUUUGAAAUGCCUUGUCCAUAAUACGCUAACAGGAUUGAGGAGGGUGUAUUUGGGAAUAGCCUCUCUUGUCAGUAUCAUUAAUUUGCUUAUUGCUCCUGCUGGCAAUGUUUUGAUGAGGUUGGGCUGUCAGGGCAAAGGAACUGAUGAUUUUAGUAGGCAGUGACUUUUUUCAAAGCUGGAAACUAUCAUUGUGAAUUAGCCACACUUGUGCCUGUUAACUCAACUUCUUAUUCUGAUAAACUAGUUUUAAGAAGGAUACAAUAUUUUAUUAUAUAAACUUGAUGCAUAGGCUGUACAGAAAACUUUAAUUUGACUGAAAUUUUUAUAGCCAAUACCAAUCCCUACACAUAAUAAAAUGUUAGGAGGAUCAGAGAAAAAAUAAUGUGCCAUACAUCUGCAAGAUUUAUUUUAAUUAAUACAUGAAUAUUAACUGAUACUAGGAGAUCUAAGAAUAUUCAAAAGAAAAGAAAAUUUGGUUCAAAAAUUAGAAUUCAGCAUAGGCUGGAUAACCAAGAUUCUUAGAAAAAGAAAUUUGUACUAAUGAAAAAGCUAAUUUAAUUUUUUAACUUAUUAAGCUAAGGCAUUUAUAUUCUUGCCUUGUGCAAUAUGUGGAUGCCAAUUAACUUAACUUUCAUGCAUCAAAAUACAAAAAAUGUUCUCUUCAUCUAUGUGCCCUAAACAUUACAGGUGAGGGGGCAAGUCAAAGUAAAAACAUGAUUUAAAACAGGAUGGCCCCCAUUAAUUUCAGUCCUAAUUAAAGGAGGAUCCUUGCUUUUCCAGAUUCCUACCCUUAAAAACUCACAUAUCUUGUGACCAUUUCCAGAUAUCAAUGUUUAUUUUUGAUAUGAACAUGGGUAAGAAACACCAUGCAUUAAUGAAAGCUUGAGCACAAGUAUUAAAUGCAGUCUGAAUAAUAAUAAUAUUACAUGUUACAAUGUGGUAACUUGGACAGCAAAAUUAUAUAAUAACACAAUUCCAAACAAAGGAAGUCAGGUUAUUGACCCACCUUCUUCAACUUUUGAGAAAUAGAUAUGGUAAACAGUUACAAUUAAUGGAAAGUUGAAAGUUUGAAAGCUCAAUGAUAUACAUUAAAAUCAUCAGAACCUAUGCAUCCUAGCGAAAAAAGGUCAAUUACCACCAUAACUUCUCCCAAACAUUCAUGCUUAUGGGAUAACAUUAAUUUUUUUUUACUAGGUGAUACUGUACUUAAAAUACUUCUACUGACACAAAUGCAUUUUUCUAAAGUUAUCUCAUAGUAUAUGACUGUACAGGUCAUGUGGAUGGUUCUUGCAUGGGGACUGACAUUUCAAUUACCCCAGCAAACUUUAAUCACCAGAAUUGCAAGCUGAGGUGUAUUUACCAUGUGCUCAAGUUUCCAAAUCAGUCACCUACCUCAGUUACAGUGGAGUUCACUCCUUUUUGAGGCUAUCUUCAGCUUGAUCAUCCUGUUACAUGUGAAAACAUCAAAUUUUAAAGGAAAUGAUCACCAACUAAAGAAGCUCAAAUUCUUCUUAUCGGCAUCUCAGGAGAUGAAUGGAGAACAGUUUGAAGAAUAUGCACACUGAUGUUAGUGGGUAAGGGGUUGAGCAGCCAACACCUCAUUAAAUUA